GUUCGACCGGCCUUUUGUAGUGAUACAGAUAUCUAUAUUACCAGCCGAGAGUUUUGUCGAUUGGAUAAAAGAAGAUUAAAUAAAGGGAAAAAAGGACAACGAAGCUACAAGUUAAAAUAAAAAGAAUAGCUGUGUGGAAUGAAACGCUACCUUUAAUCCGUGGGAGAAAAAGGGGCCAUCAUCGAGGGUUGAUUGCAAUGCUUUCGUGGAAACCAUAAACACGCACGCUCCUCCCCAAACAAAUCUGCAAAACCACUUCAACGUUAAAAAAUACCCCGUGAUUGAAAUCAUAGCGUAAAACUAUGAUUUCGUUCAAGCGGAAUAAAAGCGCCCUUUAGACCUUAUCGUUGACGCAACUAACACCGCAAAUGUCAUGGUUUAUUAUUCAUCGCUUUCACGAGUUCAACAUUUUCUAGAGUUAACUUAGUUGUGAUUCGUUACGUAACGCAACAUCCACGCAACGAGCAAUGUUAUGCUCCGAAAUACGAGCGCGAUUAUUGGAGUCUAAUUCGACGGUGUGCGUAUGUGAUGGGAACGUACGCCGUUGAUCACCGGAGGGCCGUAAUUCGAAGGAUAAUAUUAAGAUUGCCUCGGAAUGGAGAAAAAAGGAUAACCGACUAUGCAGAUGUGUGCGUGUAUGCGUGCCUUUAUGUCUGGCGCCGUGAGACUGGAUCAGGGAAGGAUGCGACGAUCGUUGACACCGACAUCGUGUUUCAACGAGAAAUUCGUUUCCUACCUUAGAAAGGAAAAUGGUUGUUACGUGAAACGAGUUUUCCUCGUGCUCUCUUAAUUUCCAAAAUUGCUUAAUUCGCUUUAAUCGCAAGAACGCAUAACGUUCACCGUGGAAGCCGAACGUAUUAUAUAAUUUGCAUAACUUCGUGAGAUUUCAAUUACGCCACAGACAUAUUUCUUGCGAGCACGAUAUUGCGUUAACUGAUGUUUCAUUUGGCGAACAGAUUUCUAACAUUGUGUCGACCUUGUGCCGUAUGAUUAUUUCAAUUAUUUUAUUACGAACCGUAUCAAUCUCGGCCCAUAUAAUGCAUAUAAUCAGAAGGCUAUUAUUCGACGAGCGCACGGCUGGCGGAAAGGACCUUUCUCCUACCUCUGUUCGGCCCCGUAGUCCGUACCAUCUCAACUCGCUCGUUUUCGUGAUAUUGUAAUUUGAAGACCGCAAACUCGCUGACGUCACUGGUGCACUGGAGCAUCUUGCCAGCGUAGCGCACGAUCGACGCUCUUCUUCCUUCUGCCCUUUCUUAUUGCUUCGACAAUUUCGAUGAAAAGCAUAUUAAAGCCUGGCGAAUUAUAGGAAUUUCGGCAGAUUAGAUAUGCGCCGAAUUGAAGGAUUGCGUUACUAAUUCCGGCGAAAACGCCGACGCGCUGCUCGUUGCUCGAAGAUUUAUUUGACCACGAUGCACCACCGGGUUGCAACGAACGAAUAAUCUUAUUAGUUGCGAUGUAGUUGCGUAAGAAAUUUCUAUUCGAAUCGUGUUCGCGUUAAACCGUGUUCUGGAAGACGCAAAUACGAAGAAAGCGAAUCCUAACUUGUUCGAACCGCGAUACUUGGUCAUCGAAUCAGAACCAUUCGGAACAUUCGAUAUUUAUUAGCUUUUUAGUUAGUCGAGAGGUACGAGCAAAUGUAAAUGGCAAAGUUACGAAGCAAACAGCAAAGAAAUGCGAUAAAAUCGAUACUACGGUAAAUAAGCAGCGUUCAAAGUAACAGUCUCUCGAAGAAAGCGGAAAGAUUGAAGAAAGAAAGGGCAUUUAAUAUCUGUUCAAAUAGUACACACCUUACGGGCUGUCAAUUACUCAAAAGCGAUUGCACACCGUAACGUUCGAGCAGUCAGUCGUUUGGUCGCGGUGUUCUCGAAUAUACCGAGUGUUUUUAUUACUAGAAAAAAUAGAAGACGGACCGUAAAUGGAGCGCCGAAUAACAGGGUGCGAGAAAUAAGAACGGAGUUUGCAUUGGUAGAUAAUAAAUGUAGAAAACGAUCGUUUAAUGAGAAACAUGCAGGACUCGUCUUUACGAGGAAAUAACAUCGAAACUAUCGAGCGUGGGCCAAUUAGACGGCGCAUAAAAUUUUCGUUUCGUAUCCCGCUAUAAUACGCGCGCUGCAAUCACCGUUAAAGAUGACUUAAUCGAUGUCUACGUUAAUUGAUAUCCUUACUUAACAUUCCAAGCUAGAAAACUAGGUGCACGAAACUACCAAUUAGCUUUAAAUUCGACGUUCAUAUUCUCGAGUUUGUCGUCUCUUUCGUAUCGGUAUUGGAAACGAGGUAGAGAGAAAAGACAUUUAUAAGAUGAUUUAUGGCAAGAAGCGAGUUACCGUCGACAGGUAUGAUCAUCUCUAUGAUAUAGGAAGGUCGUAAAAUCGGUCAAAUGUCAAACUUUACACGUGCAUGGUAUUUGAACAAGUAAAUUGAUACGUAAUUGGUACGAAACUUUAAUUGUUAGAUCUACCGAGUGCAUUGACGCUUUCUGAACCAUGAUAAUUACAGACAUAAAAUUAUUAAAGCGUAACGAUAAGCAACUGGAAAAUUAUCCCAUUUUGUUUUACGCGGCACGUAUUAUAUGUAUAAAAUGGUAAUUUUACUUUUAACUUGAUUUAGGUUCGAUGCAGAGCCUUUGGUGUACCUAUCAUUGUACACACGAUCGCACACGAUGCUUCAAGAAUCACGCGUAUAAGUGGAUUCAAUAACUCGAUAUUAACCAGCGACUUGGUCCACUUAACGCGAAUAAAAUUGAAAAAAAUGUUGCAGCAAGAUAACGAUGUUGUAAUAACUUGGCAGCAAGUCGGAUAAACGCUAGAAACGGUUCAUUGGCUGCAUUACGAGCUCGUAAAAUACGAUGCUGCUUCCACGUUGCAUCCGCUGUUUCGUGUUUUUACGAGGCAAAUUGAAGAUUAUAGAAUGACCGCUCUCGCUUUUCUCAGCUGUUGCUGCAUCGUUUAGGAGCGUUAUAACUCGCCGUUUCCUUUCUUCCUUUGCAUAACCAUAUUCGGCGCAUGACUGGCCGUAGGAAAAGGAAAAUUACGCAGGAAGAUACGGAGCGAUUAGAAAGAAUUUGUUAGGUAACGAGUCGUCGGCGAUCGUCUAAAAAAUUUUAGAAUCGUGGAAAUACUUUGCCUUCGACGACUUCUUCGCUAAGAAUUAACGUUAUCUUCUAAUUUAGGAUACGUUGCUGUGCUUUUAUGCUUUCGGAGAGGAAGGAAACGCGAAAUAAAAUCGAGAAACAGCGCGUUAAUGUGGAAAUCAUUGGAUUUUUAUCCUACAGAACUUUCAAAUUAUACACGUUCAGGAUGAAACAGAUUAUAAACACUGUAUCGAGAUAGACUAGAAGAACAUCCCUAAUAACUAAUUGCAUAGGGGCGUAAAGAAGCCUUGAUAAUUCUUCGAGCAUGUAGCCACGCAAUUAAGGUGUAACGUUUCGAAGUUCUGGUCGUAAACAACACGGGCAAAGUAGCGGAACCUCCGAGGCUCGGUUCCGCCCGUCAAUUGUUACCAAUUGUUACCAAUCAGAGUAAUACGUGUCAUUAUAGCGAGAAGGUUAGCAGCAAUACGCACAACCAUCGUUCUGUCAUGUACCUACAGAACAGAUUGCCCCGACAACGAUAUUAAUUUGGAUAAUUAUCAACGGGUAAUCGCAUUGGGUUGUUCGCAUUCUACACGCGUGAACUCGAACACAACGAAUACAUUCUACAAUUUCAUUAAUUAUUUUUUUCUCGAUGCUUUGCUCAUCGAAGUAUCACGAACGAUAGCCAAAACGCGUUUAAUAGUUACGCGGUAAACGAGUGUGAUACGUUGCUUCGUCCCGCCAGCAACGUAGAUAUUAUAAUAAUAUCCUACACCUCUGGGAUCAAUCGAUAAGGUGUUAAUAAUAUCUCAAGGCUGUUGAUGCUAUUAAUUAGAACAAACUAUAAAAAUAUUAUCUCGCAUUAUUAUAACGCGCGUAAGUCGUAUACACCUGUUAUUAUAUCUGGACGCGCGCAAUGAUUAAAAUUAAUUAGUGAGACACAGAGAAAAUCCGUUUCUUAACACGCUUUUAACUGUCGCUGUUCAACGGACAAUUUGUUGAAAAUUAAUUAACACAAGGCACACGAUGGUGCAACAGUGAGUUUUACAGCGCAGAAAUCCGGUGUUUCAGUCUGCGAACGUGUUCUCCGCCUAUCGUAGUUGCGAGAUUUUUUAGAUACUUGAACCACUCUCUUGCCGUUGCAUAUUUUCGCAAACUGAUUGCUGCAGAUUUGUUGCAAAUUCGCGCAAACGAUGUCUGCGAUUCUUUUAGGAUAACCGACAUUUUCCAACAUUUGGAUUAAUUAGAGCGACGAUAUUUUACCCUGUAACUUGUUUCACGCUCUGUCAGCUAACUUAUUAAAGAGUAUACAAUACACGUACACACAGUAAGAAAGAAGUAAAAAGAAGAAACAGAAAUUUCUAUAGUUGCGAAAUGCAAAAUUAAUGGAGACAAAUCGAUUUCAAACAGUAACAUUUACAAGUAACGUUAUUCGUGUAAUUUAAUUCGAAUAAAAAAAUGAAAGAACGCAGCAGAUGGUAGAGGAUUGAUAAAAGAAAAGAAAUGAUUUUACCCAAGAGAUGACUCGUCCCGAUGAGUUAAACAGGUUAAAGGAAAGCGACAUAUUUGGCGCUACGUAACAUCUUCGACAUUGGUAGGCAUCGUGCGCGUUCGCGAUGUUACAGUUUUGUUGCUUGUGCAUCGUUCCGCGAGUAUUACGCGAGAAUGAAGAUGAGGCAUCGGUCUUUGAUUUUGCAUAGCUGGAACGAUCCGGUCUGAUUGGAGCACGGGCUGAGCAGUUUUAACCAGUGAACAGCAGCGGAUCAAAAACGAUUCGAAAGUCGCGAUGUAUCGCGCUCCUUGUACAGCUAUAAGAAGAAGAAGUAGUAGUAGAAGAAGAAGAAGAAGAAGAAGAAGAAGAAGAAAACCAACGCGUUCGUGCAUCGCGUGGCAGAAACUGAACCAACCAGUGGCCACGCCUCCUUAGACAGCCGCCAGCCAACAAUUAAGAUUUGAUCGGCAAAAAUGGUCGAGGCAAAAUGGCGCUGGCCACUGAAUACGUAAUGCUCAUGGACGAGACUGGCCGACCUGCUGGCGGAACCGGCACAACACGUGCUUCCUUGCAUCCGGACUGCAGUCAGACUCGCGUUUAUGAUUAGAGGGUAACUCUGUAACUUACAACGACUAUCGUGCCUCGGUACAACCUCUUCUGCGAAGGUAACGUUGUUACAAAAUUUACGCUGCUUAUCGUGUUCGACUACGAUCCCAUGGUUAGCGCCGAUAGCCUCGAAGGUUCCGAAUUUUUUGCCAUCGCUUAUCGUUUGCAUACGACUAUCGCAAACAGGAAAGGAUAAUUGGGUAAAAAUAGUUUUACGGGACAAAGCGUAAAGUUCGCGAGAACCGUGUGCCCCUAUAUGCAGGCAACCGCUAAGGCAUGCGUGCGUGUAAGUACGUAUAGGAAUCGGCUGGAGAAAUAGUCGUACGGCAAAAGUGGAUUGUACGAGGUUGGUAAAUUGCAAUACACGGGAACUAGGAAACGACGUAGAACCUUAGUAAAAUAUUCACGAGAAGAUAGACUCGGAAAGAUACAAUGAUACAGAAAUUGCGGCGUUCUCCGUUAACGUGACACGGCAGCAAACGCGUAGCGCGUGUUGCGACGCCAGGAGUACAUCGUUACGUCGAGUCAUAAAUCAUAUUGAUAGCAAUGUACAACGUUUUCAUCGUUCACACACAUUGCGCGCGGUGGAUGUGUUGGUGAUUAAUGUACUUUGAUAGAUGCGCGUACGAAUAUCCAUCGGUAUAUAACUCUACCUGUCGAUUGGCAAGAUUGGAUCUGCCUUCCGUUCAGUCGGCCUUUCUUUUUAUUUUUUGCCGGCUUGUACGAGUCCAUCGUACACCACCGACAUUCCUUUUUCCCCUUUGGACGAAAGAAGAGUCUCGAGACCGGAUUAAAAUUGCAGGAGCGAUUUCGCGAACUCACGAUAUCGGCGAAAAUGCAGCAGAGGCUCUAAUCAUGGCGGAUACACGCCGCGGUAGCUGCUACCACGUUUUACCCCUUAACUCAAGACUCUCAUUACACUAAUGUCCCACCAAUCACGGACCCUCCGCCGUCUGCACCCCCCCUCCAAACCCUACACUUUUUCUCAAUCGCUCGAAUCAGAAUCAUGCAAACUGUUGCAAAAAUCGAAUAACGUCAGCUCUGGUUGGAACACGCGGCGAACGGCCGGCAUCCGCGACUUAUCAUCGACUUUCGCGCCCGUGCAAACGUCGCGUAGCGAAGAUACCUCGGACGAAAGGUGUCUUUGUUUGACCGCGUUUGCCUGUUUCGUGCGCGAAACACCGGGACAAAACGAUAGGUCGUUGCGUUAAUGAGUCCGUUACGUAUUAAUUUCACGAUUUUACGAUUCCGCAUUGGCCAAAUGAACGGGCGUCUCGCAUAGAACGCGGUCUUUUGCACCGUUCAAACGUUACAACGGCCCAUCGGAGUCUUUAACAGGGUACUUCGCGAAAUAGCCGAAGAAACGCUCUUUAGCAUACCGGCAGGGCCAACCGUUAAGCCGGUCGUUAAGUUUAUGGGGGAGCGCGAGAUGCGAGAGGUUGGCAAUUAGAUGCCUUCUGUGAACACUGUGAUCUUCGCCACGCGAAAGAAAACGACCGUGUGCAAAGCUCCCGAGUCUUUUUAGAAGAUGCAUACUUUGCCCGGUCAGACAAGGAAAUUGAAAUACGAAAAUCGCUUUGCUCGUGCUCUCGCGAGCACCGUGUUCUACCGAUCGCGAGUUUCUUUUUCUUCCGAUUUCACGUUGGUAUACGAGCGGCCGAAAGGAAACCAUAAACGCGCGGAUAGACGAGAGGAGUCCAUCGUCGGAAGAUCUUUGCACGUGUUCGUAUCAACCACUCGCGGUGGAUUUCCUUCGGUAAAGUGAAAUAAACGGAAAACAUCGAGCGUAAUCGAUGUAAUUGCGGAUAGGCUCGUUUACGACUUAGUCGCGGUUGAAACGUUGCUUUCCAUGUCGGACGUGGACAUGAAUUUUUCAUGCGGCCGCCCUUUACUUAUUUUUUACAUACCUACGUGUCACCUGUCCGUGUAAUCUUGAAAAUGACCGGGAUUUGCCGGUCGAUCUCGGAGCGUAUAAAAACGGAAAAAUGUUGCGCUGGCUUUCGGCGAGAUGGUCGACCGGUAGGUCGGCCGCCUUGAUAAAAUAAUUGCUCGCGUCGUUGCAACGAUCUUGCGCAACGAUUACGCGAAUCGGGAAAAAUAAAGAAGAGAAAACGGAGAAAGAAAGAGGCGAGGACGGUUUCUAUCGGCGCGGUGAAAAUGGCGCUGCGAGAGAAGACCAAAGGCAAUACGGCGACUAUGGAAGGGCCCGAGAGCAGCCAACCACUUAUCAUUAGCCGCAUCUUCUACCGAGCAGUCAGGGUAAUUGUUUCCUCCGGUUUAUAGUUUUAUUCCGACUCACCGGCGCGAUGAUAUCUCUCCUCGUUUUAUAUUCCUCCAGGCUAUAUCAAACCAUCAUGGCCGUCUACUUUUCUGCGUCCCUUUCUGCCUUUCUUUCCCUCCACCUCGCUCGCAAUUUCGCUCUUCUUCUCCGUGUAAACGGAUGCUUCUUUCCCUCCACGCGAUCGCGUUUAACCUCAUCCUUCGCUCUACGCUCUACAGUGUAUAUACUUUUGACAAUCUUUCCUCCGCUAAUUACAGAACAAAAGGAAUCCUGGCGCGUUGCGUGCGAUGGAACGAAUCGUCUCGUUCGUGUCGAUAUCGAGGGAUCGGGCAGGCGAGGAUGCACCGUGUGCGUAACGUGCGCGAUUAAGCGAUACAUGCAUCGAGUCGCCCGAGUUUGCAACAUAACCAGCAUGUAGCCGUACUAUGUAGCUUGGCAACUCGGUGCUAGGGACAUGGGACCAUUUUCUCCAGAAGAAGAAAGAAAAAGGGAAUCUCUUUAAUAGCGCGCCAUCUUCGAAAAAGGGGUUGGCUCGGUUCUGAUGGUAGCAUUAACCUCGCCUAGUCGCGCGAUAUGGAAAUAUCCAAGCCACGUAUAAUAACAUGGCAUCGAGCGGUUCUUUCGGUAAACGGCGACGAAGAACUGGACGCAAAGUAUUUUCGUGGAAACCGAGCGAUCGGGUGGUGGCUGCGGCGUACUCGUUUUGCUUGGAAAUUAAGAGUCUCGCGUACGAGGGCGGCGCUGGAAACAGGGCCUAUCGUUUAAGCCGGAUCUCCAUGCGAGAUUACUGCCCCCGGGGGUGGCAGCCACGGCGUCGGUGGAGGUGGUAGUGCUGGUACCGAUAUUGGUAGUUGUAGUAGUUUACUCGAAAGGCGGACCCUUAGGGUUCCCCACCCAUUCAUGAUCUACCACACUGCUGCAUAGAGAAGACUCACUGGAAAAUUCUAACAUCGUCGAUGAUCCUACCAUUUCUUCUUCGAUGUUUCGUCGAUGUGCCUAUACAGUUCGUGUACGUGAAAAUAUUCCAACAUUUGUAGGCAUUUUUUAUACAUAAUACGAAGCAUUCUGAAAUUUCAUUAGAACAGCACCGUAACGAAAUCGAAUGUCCUAGUUGCAUCGUAGUUAUAUCGGUAAAGUUCGAAACAAAUUCGAAAUCGCGCGUAGACGCUACGAGACAUUCGGAAGAGAUCGCGAAAGCAUUUAAACGGUCGAUUAUUCGUUACCUUAACAAGUUUCAAUAUUUUCUUUCAAUGUUAUAGUUUAAAGUGGCUAUUCGUGCCCCGUACUAUCUACCAAAUAUAUAUUUGCAGUAAAUCGUUUGUGUCUUCCACGUUCUAUUUUCAGAUCAAUUCCAAGUUUGACCAAUAUAAUCUGUAUGAAACGGAACGAAUGAAAUUCUAUAAAAAGAAGCAUCGGGUCAAACUUGCCAGACUUUCAAUGACGCAUAAUCCGAUGUCGAUAAUUUUUAAUGUUUCGUAAGUUGUCACCGUAGCGAGAAAAAAUAAAAGGAGCCACUUGAAUUGAAAUAACAGAGUAGAAAAGUAUCGGGUUAUGAAAAUGCCACUUUUUAAGUAUACACGAAGUUCGACGUGUAACUUUGUAUACGUUAGCGAGAGAAUAAUCCUAUAUAUCUUCAAGGUUGUCCUCGAUGACAGGUAUCGGUGGCUUCGGAGCUAAGGUGAUCCUAUUUGUGAAAUUUUAGCCAGUCUGUGUUUGGAAUUCGAAGGUGUCGCGUCGACCGUGUAUUUCGUUUGCAUAGAAGACGAGGGAGUGCUAAGGGAGCACGCGUUCGCGUGAAUACACUGUUAUUCGAAAACGAAUAACGCGUGCUACCCCCUGCAUCCCUAGGGGUGUGUCGGGGGCGUGAUAGUUGCAGCUGCACACUCAUGCUUUGCACGCGUCUUCUAUACCGGACCCGUAUAACGCUCAGAGAAGUGUGAACGAGAAAUAUUUAUUAAUUUGCGUAAUGAGUAGAAUUUUAUAUGGAUACGACGUAGUUUGUGCGGGAAUUCGAGAUUUCUCUUUGGUUCGUGGCAGAGGAGACUGUUUGCCUGAUUUUACCAACUGUAUUCGAGGUACGAUCGAUUUUCGCGUGUUGUUACUUUGAUCGAUCUAUUGGGUUGGCAACUAAGUGAUUGCGGAUUUUGUCAUUAGAUGGUAAUGACAAACCCAAUACAUUAACCGUACGCGAAUGUUACUGAAACGAACGAAUUAAUACCAGCGAUCAAAGCUAACGAUCGAAAGCGUUAAUUGCCGCUUUCUCGUAAAUUUCUUUCAGACGACGAUCAUUUUCCUAUACAGUAGCAUUUAAUAAUAAAUUUCGCCGAGGCAUAGGUCUGUGUUCGCGUGUAUUUUAUAUUAUUAGUGUAUUUACCGAUGUAUUUUAUAUUAAAGAGUGUAACUCGUUGAUCAAACAAGUAAAUAAAUAAAUAAUCUACGAUAAAA
Bombus terrestris (buff-tailed bumblebee) is the source of this 9894-nucleotide long non-coding RNA. RefSeq lists it as uncharacterized. The record is from RefSeq and is a predicted model, not a curated record. NCBI's taxonomy places the organism in Eukaryota, Metazoa, Arthropoda, Insecta, Hymenoptera, Apidae. The transcript has 2 exons.